CUUCUAAUAUUUGGUCUUUAACCCCGGUUCCUGACACAGAGAUCCUAAAUUCCUUGAAAUGUUCUAGGUGACAGUAGUGUCUUUUGUCAAAUGAGAUGACUGUUGGUGGGCCCCUGGAUGGGGGCUGCUCACCAGAAAUGUAUGAUACUGCUGUGGUUAGACGCUUGGAACUUUCAGCCCUACCCCCUAUCCUCCAGGAGGGGAAGAGGGCCUGGAGAUGGAGUUAAUAAUUGGUUAUGCCUAUGUGAUGAAACCUCCAUAAAAAUCCCUGACAUAUGGGGUUUGGAGAGCUUCUGGGUUGGUGAAUACAUCCACAUGCUGGGAGGGCGGUGUACCCAAACCGUAACGGGACAGCAGCCCCUGCACGCAGGACCCUUCUCCACCUCACCCUGUACACCUCUUCAUCUUGCUGCUCCUCUGUCUCCUUUAUUAUAUGGUAAACCAGCAAACAUCAGUGUUUCCCUGAGUUCUGUGAGCGGUUUUAGCAAAUUGUCAAACCUGAGGGGAGUUGUGAGAACCUCUGAUGUGUAGCCAAGUCAGACAGAAGUGUGGGUAACCUGGGGACCCACCUGUGAUUGGCGUCUGAGUGGAGGGCGGUCUCGUGGCCUGAUCCCUCAAUGUGGGGGAUCUGCACCAACUCCAGGUAGGCAGUAUCAGAAUUGCUUGGUAUGGGAAACCCACACAUUUGGUGUCAGAAGUAUUGACUACAGAUGGAAAAACAGCUUUUUCUUAGUACCAUGCUAUACCCGUUUGCUGUUGUGAUAAAAGAGGAAUAGACUUUAGAAGAUAUCUCUCUAUUUAUUCAUAAAGCCAUUCUGUAUUCUCAAGUAACAAAAUUAGGAUUUUCUUUAAUAUUUUAUGAGAUUUUUUUCUUUUCUUACUUGUCUUUAAAAUAGUAUUGCAAACAGGAGCAGAUUCUUCAUCUGGCUAUCACAGCAUGGCUAUUUUAGUGGGCUACAACAUAAACCCACACACAUACACACACACAUACACUCACACAGAGUUGCAAACAUAUAUGGGACAGUGGAAAGAAAUAUGAAACAGCUCUUAAAGCCACUAAUAAAUAUUUUAAAACAGUAGUCUUAAACACUAACAGACCAUUAGGGUAUUAUUUAUAGAUUAAUAAUCUCUGCAUGAGACUAUUUCAUUCAGAGGCUCUGUGAUGAGUGUAUUUGGGCUGGCCUGGGUAUUGAAUGAUGAGAUUGAUAUAUUUAUUAUUUUCUUUCCAGCUGAUAUAACUUCUAAAAUAAAUCAUUCAUACAGUUGGUGACUCAUACAAUCCAUUUCAGUAUGCUCAGCUACAUGUUAGGAGAUUUUUAUUUAAUUUAAGCAUUUUCAUUAUUGUAGAUUUUUAUUGUUCACUGUUUACUUUUAAGUCUUGGGCACUUGCUAUAAUAAGGUUACUUGUCAGAGACUGCAGAUAAAGAACAGCAAUUCAACAAUUAAAAGGCAACCAAGAAUGCAAUCUGUCGAGUAGCAAAAAAAAAAAAAAAAAAAAA
RNAcentral lists this long non-coding RNA (1499 nucleotides) under Macaca fascicularis (crab-eating macaque). RNAcentral's name for it is "lncRNA (ENSMFAG00000058326.1)". Lineage: Eukaryota; Metazoa; Chordata; Mammalia; Primates; Cercopithecidae. The record is from RNAcentral.